UUGCACGCUGGCGGCAGGCCUAACACCUGCAAGUCGCGCGGAUGAAGGGAGCUUGCUCCUGGAUUCAGCGGCGGACGGGUGAGUAAUGCCUAGGAAUCUGCCUGGUAGUGGGGGAUAACGUCCGGAAACGGGCGCUAAUACCGCAUACGUCCUGAGGGAGAAAGUGGGGGAUCUUCGGACCUCACGCUAUCAGAUGAGCCUAGGUCGGAUUAGCUAGUUGGUGGGGUAAAGGCCUACCAAGGCGACGAUCCGUAACUGGUCUGAGAGGAUGAUCAGUCACACUGGAACUGAGACACGGUCCAGACUCCUACGGGAGGCAGCAGUGGGGAAUAUUGGACAAUGGGCGAAAGCCUGAUCCAGCCAUGCCGCGUGCGUGAAGAAGGUCUUCGGAUUGUAAAGCACUUUAAGUUGGGAGGAAGGGCAGUAAGUUAAUACCUUGCUGUUUUGACGUUACCAACAGAAUAAGCACCGGCUAACUUCGUG
Molecule: ribosomal RNA, 483 nt
Filed under: uncultured bacterium
Lineage: Bacteria
Description: partial 16S ribosomal RNA
Rfam family: Bacterial small subunit ribosomal RNA
Source: RNAcentral